CCCUAUGGGCAGGCGCGUGUAGGAAGCCGCAAGGCUUGCCGUGUCUGAUACCACGGUCCGCCAACCCGCACGUUUCUUGCCCACCUCA
Molecule: non-coding RNA, 88 nt
Filed under: Neisseria chenwenguii
Lineage: Bacteria; Pseudomonadati; Pseudomonadota; Betaproteobacteria; Neisseriales; Neisseriaceae
Source: RNAcentral